CCAAAUCAAGAUGUUGACAGGGCUUUGUUCUUUUCUAGUGGCUGAUUGUUAGAAUAUGUGCUUGGCAGAAGUCAGUUCCUCGUGCUUAUAGGAGAAGGUCUGUUUCCUUGCUAGCUGUCAGCUAUGGGCUGUCUUAGCUAUUAAAGGCAACUCUCUGGUCCUUCGGUUGGCCCCCUAUGUCUCAAAACCAGCAUAGGUGCAUCAACUGUUUCUCGUGCUCAGAAUCUCUUGGACUUCCCCUUCUAUAACAUCUUUCCUGCCUUUUCUUCUACCACAUGUGACUCCAGCCUGAGAAAAUGAUCUGCCUUUAAGACUUACGUGAUUAGGUUGGGAUCACCCAGGAUUUUGAAAAAGCAAGCUGACAUAAAUCCUAUAAUCACAAGGAAAUGAGUUUUACCAACAACCAGAGAAAGCUUGGAAGCAGAUUCUUUCUACGUAGAGCCUCCAGAUGAGAACCAGCUAAGUCAUGCCUGGACUUCUGACCCACAGAAACUGAGGAUAAUAAAUGUUUUAAGCCACCAAGUUUGCGAUAAUUUGUUACAAAGCAUAGAAAGCUAACACAGAUGACUUGAAUUCUAAAUUCCAUGUAAAAUUUUAUAACUUUUCUCUUUAUGUAUUCAGAUAAACAAUAUUCCUUACACACAUUUGAAAACAUAUCAAUAUAAGACAGCUAAAUAUUUUUUAAAGUUACAACGUAAUACAAAUAGAAGAUAUAUAAGAAAGCAAAAUCAAAUUAUGUUUUCCUUUCAGAAUUAUAAAACCCCCACCUAGCAAUGCUAGGCUCCUGACAUAAAUUACUGAAAAAUAGUCAGUAAUGAAUUUUAAAGCCAAAACAGAAAGUCUUAGUCCCUUUCUACCAAAAAGGUAUUUAACACAUCUUAAAACAAAAAUCGAGUAACCCGGGGAGGAUAAAAUAAAUUUGUGUCACACCAAAGGAAGAUGUAAAAAUUGUUUGGUUUGCAGAAAAAUCAUUCAAAAUCAUUUCAAUCCUUGGCUCAUAAAUAAUGCAAACUUAAUGAGAUAUUCUAUCCUAACAUGUAUAGAUGAAGUUCUUAAUUAUUUCAAAGGGGAUUGUGCCUACAUACCUGAAAUUUAAACUUUCCCUGUAGAAAACAAUAAAAACAUACACUUCUUUAUAGAUAUAUUUAGAAUGUGUUAUCCCCAACUAAUAUUUUCUAAACUACACACAUACUUAAACACUGAAUUUAAGAUAUAAACUGAGAUCCUUACCAAUUUUGAAUGGAGUUUAAUCACAUCAACCCACAUAAAAGUCUCACAUGAACACAUAUUUUUAUGUGACAUAUUUUUCUUCAAAUAAAUAUUGCUUCUCAGACUUUUUAGCAACUGUGGCAAAAACACUCAUUGUGAAUUUAUUUUUCUUACAGCUUGUAUAUGUUUUCUUUAUCUUGAAUUGUCUGCCCAAGUAGAUGAGAGAUUUGAAAAAUUCUGUCGACAGUGGUAACAGAGUCAGAGGUCAAAAGUUUCCAAGCAUGAACUAAACCUAAACAGCAAGAAAAAUAUCAAAAUGUAUGCAAAAAUACACAGAAAGGUUAUUGAUCUUCUAAAAUCAUACCAGAUUUUAGAAGAAAUACCAGAAAAUAGCCUUAAGGAAAUAAACCUUGUGUUUGUCUAAUAAAACCCAUCAAGAAGUAUGUAAUAAUUACAUCAACCCUCUUGAAAUUUUUUUAAAAAGGCCAAGUCUAUAGAAUGAAUAGUAUCAGGCCAAGAAAAAAAAUUCAGGCCCUGUUUCCAAGGACAAUAAUAGUGGAACAGACAGAUAGUGGCCAGUCUAGCCUGGGGAAUGCAAACCAACCAAGUAAAAAAUUUGACAACUCAGUUUUUUAUAAAAUUAAACCAAUGCUGUGUAUAAAAGUAUCCAGAAUGAAAUGAAGAACUGACUCAUAUUUUGAUAAUUAAUGCUCAAAAAUGUGAAAUUUUCUGUUCCAUUAUUUAGGUAUUUUAAGAAAAAUUUACUUUAAAUUUUUGCUUUAUGUGACUAUAAUAGCUAUAUUUCAUGUAUUAGCAUUUAUACAUACAAAGGCUGUAGAGUUUUACCAGACUUUAUUCGAGGGUCCAGAGUACUUAAAGAGAACAAUACAGGAAUAGAAAUAGCAUAAACUAUAUACUUCAAAUAAUUUCACAGGGCUGUGUAAGCAUUUUAAGGAAUUGAGGCUUUAUCCUAAGCCUAAGGGAAAGCCAUCCAUAUAACCAAAUUUCUGUUUGGAAAAAUGUGCUCUGGUUGUAGUACAGAGAAUUAGUUGUCAGAACAAAGGUGAGAUGGUGGUGAUAUAGAUGCCAAAGUAAGAAAAUAUGAAUGUGCUAUGCUAUUUCACUCUUCUGUCCUUCACCAACCUAUUUUCUCUGCUUCCUUUUCUCUUUGUUCAUAUUUUCAGUUCAAGUUUCACCCCUUCUAUGAAACAUUUCAUGAAGUAUCAGCCCAUUCUGUACAAUCAACCACUCCUGCCUCUGUGCCCAAACAGUAUAUGCUUUUAUCAUGGCCCAUGCCAUUGAAAUGCAUUUAGCUGUAUAUGUAUAUUCGUCCUUGUACAAAUCAAUAAAUAAAUUCUUAAUGAAAUUUAUUUUCUGUCUCCAGCAUCUAAACAAUGUUUUGCCUUGUGCUAAUCAAAAAAGUUCUGGUUGACAUUUGAAAUGGUU
This 2655-nucleotide long non-coding RNA is filed under the name Homo sapiens (human). RNAcentral describes it as "non-protein coding lnc-CCDC59-5:1". The record is from RNAcentral. Lineage: Eukaryota; Metazoa; Chordata; Mammalia; Primates; Hominidae.